GGAGGUGUAGCUCAGUAGCAGAGUGCUUGCCUGGUGUGCACAAGGCCCUGGGUUCAAUCCCUAGCACCACAA
Molecule: non-coding RNA, 72 nt
Organism: Ictidomys tridecemlineatus (thirteen-lined ground squirrel)
Lineage: Eukaryota; Metazoa; Chordata; Mammalia; Rodentia; Sciuridae
Source: Rfam